UGAGUGCUUGGCCCUGUUCUCAGCAGGUGACCCUCCUGCACCGUGUAGGUGAGGCCGCUGGGAUGAACUGCGGGGUCUGUCCCCUCAGGAAAGCCGUCACCCCCCCGGUAAGCGGCUGCGGGGAAGGGAGAUUGAUCUCCCAAGUAACUUAGUGCAAACGGCUUCUGCGUAAAUCCCUUGGUGUCAAAGGGGUUGGGUUUGUCGUCUGUGAGAAGAUAUUUCGUGACUGGUUUGAAACUUCACACUGAACAGUCUGUGUUGUGAGAAUGUGUGAGGAAGGUGCCCAGUGCUCCCGAAACCGCACCUGAAAUUCUCUCCAGCUGUUCCUGCAGCCUCUGCCUGUGGGCACUGCCACGCAGAAUUGAUCGAGCUUUAAAAGCCUAUCACGUGUCCAUGGAAGAAAAACGCAACAGAGAACCUGUACCUCCUAUCCCAGAACUGCCUUCCACUAUGAACAGUGAGCUAAAACAACAGAUGAUGUUGCACUCAGAUGGAGCACAUCCUCGUAAGACUUUGAGAACUUUGCUUACUCCUAUUGUUCUACCUUCAUCAUCCACAUCUUAUAUGUCACCAUCACAGAAUGAACUACUGACAUACCGAAGAGGCAAAGAGCAGCAAAAGAGGCUUAAUCAGUUGCUAAUUGAUCGAGCUUUAAAAGCCUAUCACGUGUCCAUGGAAGAAAAAUGCAACAGAGAACCUGUACCUCCUAUCCCAGAACUGCCUUCCACUAUGAACAGUGAGCUAAAACAACAGAUGGAAAACUAUCUCUUUCUGAAGAAGUGUGUGCUAAGCAAUCCCAUCAUUCCCAUUCAGCACCAGUGGCUCAUGUCCAUGCUCACAUUGGUGCCACAGUCACUUAUGGAAGGCAAAGACAGAAAGCUGUUAGUUGAAAAGCUUCUAGUGGAGAUAGUGGAGGAUUAUGAAAAGAGCAUGAGAAGAUUUAUGGUGCGAAGUGUUCUUAUUAAACCAGACAUAAAAGGACUUGAAGAUGAAGAGGAGGCACCUUUGCCUUCAUUACCUGUAGGCCUGGAUUUUUCUAGUCCAUGGCAUAAGAGUUUUACCCGAGCAAAGAGUAAAAUCCUUUCCAAGCUGCAUAUUCUCCACCCCACAAUGAAAUCGCUACUGGAUUUUGGAUAUGCAGCAUUCUUUGACUUUCUUCUAGUGGAUUUCUCAAGCCUCAGACUGAAAGAGCCAAUUGACUGUAAAUGUUUAAAGACUGAUGUCUCUCUAAGCUGUUCUAAAGCAGAAGAGAAAAUACUGGUGACAUGGUAUCAAAGAGUUAUCAAUCUCUUUACUCAUAAUGAGGCACUGAAUAGUGUAAAGUUGGAUCAGCUUGACUCUUUUUAUAACUGUGUGGAUGUUCUUAUGUCUAAUCAGGUGAAAGACUUAUUGACAAGAACAGUUGAAGCUUACGUGAAACUUUUUGAUCCUGAAGACAGAAAUGGCCCACCUUUGUUUAAGAUGGAAUUGACUCUUGAUGACCAGAAAAUGGAGUUUUAUCCAAGCUUGCAAGACCUAGAAGAAGGAAUUCUGUUUAUAGCAAAUCGCAUAGGACAGACGCUCCAGAACAUCCAGACGGUACAUUCUUGGCUAAUGGGAGACACUGCAACUCUGGACACUGAGCUUCCUAAGCAUGUCUUAGAAUGGGCCACAUCUAUACUGAAAAAGCGUAUCAGAGACAACUUAGAAGGUCCAAAGAAACAUUUUGAAAAAUAUGUUGAAAAGUAUGGCUGGCUUGUAGAUGGAACUGCACAGGCACGGGUAGAAAGAUUUGAAGCAGAAGAACACAGUUUUGAUGAAUACACUGCUUUAAUAGAUGAAUUCUUCACCCACAAGAAGGAAAUCUUGAGUUUACCUGAGGUGGCUUAUUUUCCUAUGGUCUAUUUGAAUUCUGAGGAUUUAAAGCAAGGUUUGGCGAGUAGCACAAACGCCUUUGCAAAAGUGCUAAUGGACAGAAUAGUUGCAAAUUACAGAGAGGAAAACAAAAUGAUAUGCAGGGAAUUUGAAGCCAUUAAGGAAUGUGCAUUAAAAGUUCCUGGGACAAGAGAAGAAAUGGUGAAAACAGAAGCUUACAUAAAGAAAGUCAAAGACAAAGAUAUUAAGGACCUCUUGUUAAGGAUCAAGAAGUGCUCCCAGCGGCUGCUUUACUACUUAGACAAUUUUUUAUUUGAUCCUGAAGACAUUGCACUGAAUGCAACAGUUCAAUUAUGGCCAAAGAGGAUUGGGCCUAUUUUUGAUGAGCAUGAUUAUCUCAUUGAAAAGUUUAAAUAUAAAGAAGAGCAAGAACUAAUAUAGGAACAUGAGAAAGUGGUAAUGGACUUCAAAAAGCUGACGUGUUCUAAGGAAUGUUAGCUAAUCCCAAUUUGCUCUUUGAUUCAAUGCCAGUCAUUUGGAUAAAGCCAAAAAUAAGGAAAUCUAAUGCGUAUAUUUGCCUACUCUACAAGACAAGUGAGCGUAAAGGAGUUUAUCUACUACUGGAUAUUCUGCUAACUUCGUCAUUGCUUUGAUGCUUAACACGGAUAAACCAGUACAACACUGGAUCAAGCGAGGUGUUGCAUUGCUCUGCCAGCUGGAUAACUAACUUUGGACAGUUCAGAUAUGGGCUUUGCUAGAUCCUGAUCUUUUUGGUGGCUUACAGAGGAAGUGGAAUAUACUGUGUAAAAGAAACAUCUAGACUUUUUUUAUUAUAAGAGGGCAUGCAGAUAUUUUUCUGAUGCUCAAUAUUGUGUUUUAAAAAACAAUGUGUUUUUAUUAGCAUCUUUAGAAUCUAUAAAAGAUACAGCUAGGAUUUUAGCCUUUAGUAAUAUUAUUAAUAUUUAAACAUUAAUUUUAUGCAUUAUUUCAAUAUCACAAAAUACAUCUUAAUGGAAAAUGAAACUGGUCUGCACUUUCAGAAAGAAACAUUGCAGUUAAUGAACUUGAAGCAUUAAGAGCACUGAAACAUGUCAGUGGAAAGCUAGUACGUAGUAAGUUUGGGGAUUUCAGUAUGGAUUAAUAUAUAGCCUAUGUUCUGUCAUAGCAACAGCAAAGAUUGCAAUAUGAGAAAUUGAUUAACAAUCUGUAGUAGGUGCUAAAAAUCUGUUUCCCUAUUGCUCCAGAGAGGCAAUCCAGUUUCUAUUCCUUCACCGAUUCUGCACUUUUGUUUUCUUUAAAAUAAAAAAGUAAAUAGUAAAAAUACUUAAACAUUCUUCCUAGAUCUCUCUAGCAAAGAACUAUUGCAUACAGACAGAGCCAUCAUUAUUGCUUUGUAAGCAUCUCCCCAUAAAAUAUACAGUAGCAGUAAAUUAAGCACGAGGAAGUCUCACUCUGUCUUACAGUCACUAGCUACGUAGGCAUCUAUGCUUCACUCCCCUGUUUAUUGUAAGUUACACUGGCAUGAGUUUUCAGCAUAGGUCUGUUUUUUGAAAUUGUGGUUUUCCCUUUAAAGACUCUAUCUUCUGUUUGGUUUUCUGUUUAAUAUGUGAAUUGAUGUUAAGCAAUCAGUAAAACGUGAUAAGUUUUAAUAAAGUUCUUACUUG
Molecule: RNA transcript, 3518 nt
Organism: Melopsittacus undulatus (budgerigar)
Lineage: Eukaryota; Metazoa; Chordata; Aves; Psittaciformes; Psittaculidae
Gene: DNAH12
Gene name: dynein axonemal heavy chain 12
Exons: 19
Source: RefSeq, a predicted model, not a curated record